GUCCAUAUCUCAGAUACUAUAAGCAAUAGGGCUAGUAUAUUCGGUGUAUGGAAGGACUGUAAGGUGUACAUGUCCAACUGGCAGGUGUCAUCUGACCUUGACCUCAUUUUCAUGGUUCAGUGGUUAUAGUUAAAUUUUUGUGUUUUGGUCUGUUUUUCUCAUACCAUAUGCAAUAGGUCUACUAUAUUUGUUGUAUGGAAUGAUUGUUAAGUGUACAUGUCUAGCGGGCAG
RNAcentral lists this long non-coding RNA (231 nucleotides) under Mytilus galloprovincialis (Mediterranean mussel). Lineage: Eukaryota; Metazoa; Mollusca; Bivalvia; Mytilida; Mytilidae. The record is from RNAcentral.